AGUGAACACUGGCGGUAGGCCUAACACAUGCAAGUCGAACGGCAGCACAGGAGAGCUUGCUCUCUGGGUGGCGAGUGGCGGACGGGUGAGGAAUACAUCGGAAUCUGCCCAGUCGUGGGGGAUAACGUAGGGAAACUUACGCUAAUACCGCAUACGACCUUCGGGUGAAAGAGGGGGAUCGCAAGACCUCUCGCGAUUGGAUGAGCCGAUGUCGGAUUAGCUAGUUGGCGGGGUAAUGGCCCACCAAGGCGACGAUCCGUAGCUGGUCUGAGAGGAUGAUCAGCCACACUGGAACUGAGACACGGUCCAGACUCCUACGGGAGGCAGCAGUGGGGAAUAUUGGACAAUGGGCGCAAGCCUGAUCCAGCCAUACCGCGUGGGUGAAGAAGGCCUUCGGGUUGUAAAGCCCUUUUGUUGGGAAAGAAAUCUUUCAGGCUAAUACCCUGGGAGGAUGACGGUACCCAAAGAAUAAGCACCGGCUAACUUCGUG
This 490-nucleotide ribosomal RNA is filed under the name uncultured bacterium. RNAcentral describes it as "partial 16S ribosomal RNA". It matches the Rfam family "Bacterial small subunit ribosomal RNA", at positions 29 to 507 of the family's 1533-position model. The record is from RNAcentral.